RNAcentral lists this ribosomal RNA (814 nucleotides) under Coronostoma claireae. RNAcentral's name for it is "LSU rRNA". It matches the Rfam family "Eukaryotic large subunit ribosomal RNA", at positions 342 to 955 of the family's 3401-position model. The record is from RNAcentral. Lineage: Eukaryota; Metazoa; Nematoda; Chromadorea; Rhabditida; Coronostomatidae.
UACAAAGUACCCGUGAGGGAAAGUUGCAAAGAACUUUGAAGAGAGAGUUCAAGAGGGCGUGAAACCGCUGAGAAGGAAACGGAUAGAGUUGACGAAACUGUAUGGCAUUCAUCCGGAUAUUUCCCUGACACCCAUGCCGCUGUCUGCCCUUUUCGGAGGGUGGCAGCAGCAGAAGGUUGCUCAGUGGGAUGCCUGGUGUAUUUGCCAUUGGUAUGUGCUGAGAAAUUUGCCACGGCAUGCUAAUACCGUUGUAAAGAGGACUAUGCCCAAAUGGGUAUAGGAACCUUUGCUGGUUGAAGCUUGUCCAUGGUGAAUAUGCUUCGUAAGCUGGCGCCCGUUAUGAUGCAACAGCUACUAUGCGGUCAGUGUGAUUAUUGAGCGGUCGCAUGCGACUUGCUUAUAGUUGACAAUGGCCCAUUGGGUAGUGCUUGUUGCGUUGGCGUUAUAAGCUACUCAGUAUAAAAGUUGACCACCUAUCCGACCCGUCUUGAAACACGGACCAAGGAGUUUAGCAUAUGCGCAAGUCAUUGGGUGAUAAACCUAAAGGCGCAAUGAAAGUAAAGAUCACUCUUGGUGAUUGAUAUGGGAUCCGYACAGUCUUGUGCUGUACGGCGCACCAUAGCCCCGUCUUCGUUGCUUGCAAUAGGGCGGCGGUAGAGCGCAUACGCUGAGACCCGAAAGAUGGUGAACUAUGCCUGAGCAGGAUGAAGCCAGAGGAAACUCUGGUGAAAGUCCGAAGCGGUUCUGACGUGCAAAUCGAUCGUCUGACUUGGGUAUAGGGGCGAAAGACUAAUCGAACCAUCUAGUAGCUGGU